This is a long non-coding RNA of Quercus robur (English oak), 704 nucleotides long. RefSeq lists it as uncharacterized. NCBI's taxonomy places the organism in Eukaryota, Viridiplantae, Streptophyta, Magnoliopsida, Fagales, Fagaceae. The record is from RefSeq and is a predicted model, not a curated record. The transcript has 3 exons.
AAGAAAUGGUAAGUUAAGGAAAUUUUAGUUUUGUUAUGACAAUUCCAUAGUAUUCUCUUACAAGCUUUUUUCUGUUACAUGAUGCAUCUUCUUUCUCCAUGUGUUUAAAUUGCAUUCCAACAUUUUCAUCAGGCAAGAGUAUCUUGUGAGGUGUAUGUAAAUACGAACAACCAGACAAUUGUCCACCAAGAUUGCUACCCUGAGGGGUUGCUGAUAUUUUCUAGAGGUAUGAAAGGCUUGGUUUAGAAUAGACAAAAAGUAGAUAACUCCAUUCAAUUAUAAUCCUGCUUUCAUGGAGGAAAUGAGGACAAGAAGACACACAUCUCAUGUUUGGUUGGUCACCAUCUUUGCACUGUACCAUUGGGACCCAAAUAUUGGAAAGAUGCUUCUUAUGGAGUCUAUCUUUUAAUGCCUCAAUCCAGCCUUAACAAUUGCUGGUUUUCUUGCACAUAGUGACCCAUUUGUGCUUCCAAUAAUUGGAAAGAGGAAGCUGAUGAAGAAGAUCCUUUACUGGUGAUUCCUGCAGGUUGAUUAUUAAGCUAAUCCAUACUGAUCCUUUUUAUGGAAUUUGUAGUUUUUUUUUUUUUAAUGAUUAAUGUUAAUUCUAUUACUGAUUUUAAACUUGUGCACACAUUCUUUAUGCAGUGACCACAAAGCACUUCUUAAACUUUAUUAGGAUGAAAAUAUGCAAAGUAAAAUGGAAA